CCUACGGGAGGCAGCAGUGAGGAAUAUUGGUCAAUGGGCGAGAGCCUGAACCAGCCAAGUCGCGUGAAGGAUGAAGGAUCUAUGGUUUGUAAACUUCUUUUAUAUGGGAAUAAAGUGAGGAACGUGUUCCUUUUUGUAUGUACCAUAUGAAUAAGCAUCGGCUAACUCCGUGCCAGCAGCCGCGGUAAUACGGAGGAUGCGAGCGUUAUCCGGAUUUAUUGGGUUUAAAGGGUGCGUAGGUGGUUAAUUAAGUCAGCGGUGAAAGUUUGUGGCUCAACCAUAAAAUUGCCGUUGAAACUGGUUGACUUGAGUAUAUUUGAGGUAGGCGGAAUGCGUGGUGUAGCGGUGAAAUGCAUAGAUAUCACGCAGAACUCCGAUUGCGAAGGCAGCUUACUAAACUAUAACUGACACUGAAGCACGAAAGCAUGGGGAGCAAACAGGAUUAGAUACCCCAGUAGUC
Molecule: ribosomal RNA, 460 nt
Filed under: uncultured bacterium
Lineage: Bacteria
Description: partial 16S ribosomal RNA
Rfam family: Bacterial small subunit ribosomal RNA
Source: RNAcentral